GUAUCCCAAAAUAACACAGCAGGUACAAGAAGCACACUAUCAACAUCAAGAAGGAGAAGACUGUCAACACCAAGAAGGCCUAGAAGAAGUACAGCAAUCAGGAGUGGAACACAGGAGCAGGAAAAUAAUGCUGAGUUAAAUCAAUCAAGCAUCAUUGAUGAAACAGAAGAAACACCCCCGGUAUCCCAAAAUAACUCAGCAGGUACAAGAAGUACAUUAUCAACACCAAGAAGGAGAAGACUGUCAACACCAAGAAGGCCUAGAAGAAGUACAGCUAUCAGGAGUGGAACACAGGAGCAGGAAAAUAAUGCUGAGUUAAAUCAAUCAAGCAUCAUUGAUGUAACAGAUGAAACACCCCGGUAAGUGUUAAUUUAGCAAGAUUAUUAUUAGGUCAUAUUUUAC
Mytilus californianus (California mussel) is the source of this 402-nucleotide long non-coding RNA. RefSeq lists it as uncharacterized. The transcript is spliced from 4 exons. The record is from RefSeq and is a predicted model, not a curated record. Lineage: Eukaryota; Metazoa; Mollusca; Bivalvia; Mytilida; Mytilidae.